AUGACUGUUUGGAGCAACCAUGCAGUUAGCUGUAUGGCCUCUGCACACAUGCAACCCUCUGGGACACUGCCAGCUACUGCUCCCUGCUCGCUGCGCCCAAUAGACCCUGGCAGCUCCUUGACCCCUGGAUGUUGUGUCUGGGUCACUUCUGCAGCCAGUUCUGUUGGGGGAUGUCGCCCUGGGGGACCUCGAACAGCUCCUUCAAGCACAGUCCCAGGCCAUCUGUAAUUGCUCCAGAAGCAAAACCGCCUCAGAAACCACCGUGAACACAAGUUGCUCUGCAAAUCCAAUGCAGCAGCCCCUGGCUCCCCUCCAGUGCUUCGAUUUGGGGAUUAGACAGUCGCCAUCCCUACUGAUCAGGGUAUCAUGAAUGGCUCUGGGCUCAGUUCUCCUGCACCUGGUCAAAUUUUUUGCAGACACGAGCCAGGAUGACGGGGAGUGCCCAGGGAUGUGGUUCUCUCCCGGUAAUCAGCUCUGAGCCAUUUGAGCCUCUCUCUCCAUUUACCACCAGUCUGUCAAGUCGCAGCGUGGCCGGUUUAUCUCCUGUUUCAUGGAACACAUGGUCACUCCUGGUGCUCCUGCUAACCUUGCCUGUCUUGCUUGCCUCACAGCAGAGACCAGCCAGAUGCUGACCGUGGUCCCGUGACCAGGGAAGCAGCAUGCUUGGCAAAGGACUUCUAGCUAAUGCAGGAGAUGGUUAAGUCUGAUUCCAACUCAGUGGUCAAAAUAAAAUGGAAGGGUUAAUUGCUGAGCAGCUGUGUUUGAACCAGAUUUCUUCAGUACCCUGGAAGCCGAUUGCCUGGGCCUGGGAUAGAAAGGCCAAGAAACACUGGGAUCAUGGGAGAGUGUCGGCGGCUCUUAGGACAUGAGGAUUGGGGGUUUAUGGAGGCACAGAGUCCCUCCUGCAGGUCAGGGUGCCUCGU
RNAcentral lists this long non-coding RNA (923 nucleotides) under Pelusios castaneus (West African mud turtle). RNAcentral describes it as "lncRNA (ENSPCEG00000004970.1)". The record is from RNAcentral. Lineage: Eukaryota; Metazoa; Chordata; Testudines; Pelomedusidae.